Molecule: long non-coding RNA, 341 nt
Filed under: Pongo abelii (Sumatran orangutan)
Lineage: Eukaryota; Metazoa; Chordata; Mammalia; Primates; Hominidae
Description: lincRNA
Source: RNAcentral
AAAGGAUGGGCAAGGCUCAGCUUCUCCUUCUGGAAACGUAGCUCAUCUCCAAAGAAGACCAGUUCAUUUUCUACUAUGGACAAUGUGGAUGGUAGUUCUCUUGUGCUCACAGGUUCAGCACAUGUUACAGAAGAGCAUUUUCCUUCAGAGAUUAUUCACAGGUGUCCCACAGCCCAUAGCAAAUACAGGGCACAUUAAGUUCAAAUAAAUUUAUGCAAAUAUGUGUGGAAACGGUCUGUAGCCUGCAGGAGCCUGAGGAGAAGGGAGGAGCCAGCAGCCCCAGUCAAGUCUAGCACAGUGCAUCUUGGCCUGCAGUGAUGGCUGUUUCCCCUGGAAAGGUC